UGUUCCUAUUGUCCAAAUAACUUGAAAUUUUUACUGUAAUAACUUCAGCAUGAGUAGGAGGUUUCUGUAAAAUUUCAGCUAAAUUGGACACCGUUAGAUAUGUCAAACAAUUUUCUUAAAAGUACUGCGCGAAGCAGCAAGGUUCUGUGGCAGAUUCUGCAUUUUGUGAGAUAAUUUCUUAUACACUUGAGAAGAUAUUGUAUUUUUGUAACUUUCUAAUAAAGAUAGACUUUAAUAGCUUUCUUAAAAGGUAAAGCUUGCAUUUUUCUUUGAAAAUGUUGAUUUUAUAUGAUUUUUCAAAGUUGAGAUAAUGAUUUUUCAAAGUUGAGAUUCAUGUUUCUUACUUGAGAAAGUUAUGAAUAGAAUUAUGCUAAGUAAUUGAUGUUUCAGUUAUUCCCUUCUUCAUUCCCUCGGACUAUAUUCAACUAUACGGUAUAUAUGUAACGUUGUGAGAGAGAGCAGAGUUGAAAUAUCUCUUUCAUAUUUCUUUUAUUUAAGAAGCUCGGGUUGGCUAUGUUUUGCAGGUGAACUCGCUCGUGUUGGUGCAGGUUCAUUAUUGUGAUUGAGUUUAUCAUCUUGGCGGAUCAAGUAGAUGGGAGUCGAUGAGCUAUGAGGACUACUACAAACGAGAAGGCUGAAGCAGAGAACGUCGUUUCAAAUGUCUAGCAAGUUGCGCGCAUUUGUAAUAUUUUUUAAUUAAACAUCUAGCUAAAUAGAAUAUAUGUGAAGUUUUCAUUAUAUUUGGAUGAUAAUGUAUGAAUAUUUUGGAUGAUAUAUAAUAUUGUUAUUGUUGAUUUUA
Long non-coding RNA from Salvia miltiorrhiza (redroot sage), 799 nucleotides. RefSeq lists it as uncharacterized. Lineage: Eukaryota; Viridiplantae; Streptophyta; Magnoliopsida; Lamiales; Lamiaceae. The transcript has 2 exons. The record is from RefSeq and is a predicted model, not a curated record.